This 572-nucleotide ribosomal RNA is filed under the name uncultured bacterium. Its description in RNAcentral is "bacterial SSU rRNA". It matches the Rfam family "Bacterial small subunit ribosomal RNA", at positions 338 to 901 of the family's 1533-position model. The record is from RNAcentral.
CCUACGGGAGGCAGCAGUGGGGAAUAUUGGACAAUGGGGGCAACCCUGAUCCAGCCAUGCCGCGUGUGUGAAGAAGGCCUUCGGGUUGUAAAGCACUUUUGUUGGGGAAGAAACCGGCCGGGUUAAUACCCUGGUUGAAUGACGGUACCCAAAGAAUAAGCACCGGCUAACUUCGUGCCAGCAGCCGCGGUAAUACGAAGGGUGCAAGCGUUACUCGGAAUUACUGGGCGUAAAGCGUGCGUAGGCGGUUUGUUAAGUCUGCUGUGAAAGCCCUGGGCUCAACCUGGGAACUGCAGUGGAUACUGGCGAGCUAGAGUGUGUCAGAGGAUGGUGGAAUUCCCGGUGUAGCGGUGAAAUGCGUAGAGAUCGGGAGGAACACCAGUGGCGAAGGCGGCCAUCUGGGACAACACUGACGCUGAGGCACGAAAGCGUGGGGAGCAAACAGGAUUAGAUACCCUGGUAGUCCACGCCCUAAACGAUGCGAACUGGACGUUGGGCACACUUAGGUGCUCAGUGUCGAAGCUAACGCGUUAAGUUCGCCGCCUGGGGAGUACGGUCGCAAGACUGAAACU